GGAGGCGUGGCAGAGUGGACGAUUGCACCAGUCUUGAAAACUGGAGAACCCGCAAGGGUUCCAGAGGUUCGAAUCCUCUCGCCUCCG
This 87-nucleotide transfer RNA is filed under the name Candidatus Moranbacteria bacterium RIFOXYA1_FULL_44_7. RNAcentral's name for it is "tRNA-Ser". It matches the Rfam family "tRNA". Rfam says of the family: Transfer RNA (tRNA) molecules are approximately 80 nucleotides in length. Their secondary structure includes four short double-helical elements and three loops (D, anti-codon, and T loops). Further hydrogen bonds mediate the characteristic L-shaped molecular structure. tRNAs have two regions of fundamental functional importance: the anti-codon, which is responsible for specific mRNA codon recognition, and the 3' end, to which the tRNAs corresponding amino acid is attached (by aminoacyl-tRNA synthetases). tRNAs cope with the degeneracy of the genetic code in two manners: having more than one tRNA (with a specific anti-codon) for a particular amino acid; and 'wobble' base-pairing, i.e. permitting non-standard base-pairing at the 3rd anti-codon position. Lineage: Bacteria; Candidatus Moraniibacteriota. RNAcentral also lists the same sequence under 3 other names. The record is from RNAcentral.